Molecule: transfer RNA, 74 nt
Filed under: Candidatus Latescibacteria bacterium 4484_181
Lineage: Bacteria; Pseudomonadati; Candidatus Latescibacterota
Also listed under: 2 other names
Description: tRNA-Gln
Rfam family: tRNA
About the family: Transfer RNA (tRNA) molecules are approximately 80 nucleotides in length. Their secondary structure includes four short double-helical elements and three loops (D, anti-codon, and T loops).
Source: RNAcentral
UACCGGGUCGUCCAAUGGUAGGACAACGGCCUUUGGAGCCGUGAAUUGAGGUUCGAGUCCUCACCCGGUAGCCA